UUGCAGUCAUCCGCAUUUACGACUAAAAAUCCAAGGAAAAAUGAGCCCAGCUAAAAAGACUCGCCGUACGCCGGUUGUCGAUAAGCAAGCGCAUCAGGAUAAGAAGUUGCAAAAAAGAAAGCUAAUAAUUACAACAGACAGUGACUUGGACACACCCGGGAAAAACAUGGAUAAUAUACAAAAAGG
Helianthus annuus (common sunflower) is the source of this 186-nucleotide long non-coding RNA. RefSeq lists it as uncharacterized. The transcript has 3 exons. Lineage: Eukaryota; Viridiplantae; Streptophyta; Magnoliopsida; Asterales; Asteraceae. The record is from RefSeq and is a predicted model, not a curated record.